CCUACGGGGCGCAGCAGUCGAGAAUCAUUCACAAUGGGGGAAACCCUGAUGGUGCGACGCCGCGUGGGGGAAUGAAGGUCUUCGGAUUGUAAACCCCUGUCAUGUGGGAGCAAAUUAAAAAGAUAGUACCACAAGAGGAAGAGACGGCUAACUCUGUGCCAGCAGCCGCGGUAAUACAGAGGUCUCAAGCGUUGUUCGGAAUCACUGGGCGUAAAGCGUGCGUAGGCUGUUUCGUAAGUCGUGUGUGAAAGGCGCGGGCUCAACCCGCGGACGGCACAUGAUACUGCGAGACUAGAGUAAGGGAGGGGGAACCGGAAGUCUCGGUGUAGCAGUGAAAUGCGUAGAUAUCGAGAGGAACACUCGUGGCGAAGGCGGGUUCCUGGACAUUAACUGACGCUGAGGCACGAAGGCCAGGGGAGCGAAAGGGAUUAGAUACCCUUGUAGUC
This 446-nucleotide ribosomal RNA is filed under the name uncultured bacterium. RNAcentral's name for it is "partial 16S ribosomal RNA". It matches the Rfam family "Bacterial small subunit ribosomal RNA", at positions 338 to 795 of the family's 1533-position model. The record is from RNAcentral.